This 90-nucleotide transfer RNA is filed under the name Candidatus Berkelbacteria bacterium. RNAcentral describes it as "tRNA-Ser". It matches the Rfam family "tRNA". From Rfam's summary of the family: Transfer RNA (tRNA) molecules are approximately 80 nucleotides in length. Their secondary structure includes four short double-helical elements and three loops (D, anti-codon, and T loops). Further hydrogen bonds mediate the characteristic L-shaped molecular structure. tRNAs have two regions of fundamental functional importance: the anti-codon, which is responsible for specific mRNA codon recognition, and the 3' end, to which the tRNAs corresponding amino acid is attached (by aminoacyl-tRNA synthetases). tRNAs cope with the degeneracy of the genetic code in two manners: having more than one tRNA (with a specific anti-codon) for a particular amino acid; and 'wobble' base-pairing, i.e. permitting non-standard base-pairing at the 3rd anti-codon position. Lineage: Bacteria; Candidatus Berkelbacteria. The record is from RNAcentral.
GGUGAGGUGGCAGAGUGGCCGAAUGCAGCGCACUGCUAAUGCGUUGACCCUUAACGGGGUCCGUGGGUUCGAAUCCCACCCUCACCGCCA